This 460-nucleotide ribosomal RNA is filed under the name uncultured bacterium. Its description in RNAcentral is "partial 16S ribosomal RNA". It matches the Rfam family "Bacterial small subunit ribosomal RNA", at positions 338 to 795 of the family's 1533-position model. The record is from RNAcentral.
CCUACGGGUGGCAGCAGUGAGGAAUAUUGGUCAAUGGACGAGAGUCUGAACCAGCCAAGUAGCGUGAAGGAUGACUGCCCUAUGGGUUGUAAACUUCUUUUAUAAAGGAAUAAAACGAGGCACGUGUGCCUGUUUGCAUGUACUUUAAGAAUAAGGAUCGGCUAACUCCGUGCCAGCAGCCGCGGUAAUACGGAGGAUCCGAGCGUUAUCCGGAUUUAUUGGGUUUAAAGGGAGCGUAGAUGGGUUGUUAAGUCAGUUGUGAAAGUUUGCGGCUCAACCGUAAAAUUGCAAUUGAUACUGGCAGUCUUGAGUACAGUUGAGGUAGGCGGAAUUCGUGGUGUAGCGGUGAAAUGCUUAGAUAUCACGAAGAACCCCGAUUGCGAAGGCAGCUUACUAAACUGUGACUGACAUUGAUGCUCGAAAGUGUGGGUAUCAAACAGGAUUAGAUACCCUUGUAGUC